This 802-nucleotide ribosomal RNA is filed under the name uncultured archaeon. RNAcentral describes it as "bacterial SSU rRNA". It matches the Rfam family "Archaeal small subunit ribosomal RNA", at positions 26 to 838 of the family's 1478-position model. The record is from RNAcentral.
GCGCCCAUUGGAUGAACUAAGCCUGCCGAGUCAUUGUGGUAUACAAGGCAGACGGCUCAGUAACGCGUAGCCCUUUACCCUAUGGACGGGAAUAACCUAGGGAAACUGAGCCCUUUCCCGAUAGAACACUAUGCCUGGAAUGGUUUGUGUUCCAAAUGAUUUAUCGCCGUAGGAUGGGACUGCGGCCUAUCAGUUUGUUGGUGAGGUAAUGGCCCACCAAGACUAUUACAGGUACGGGCUCUGAGAGGAGUGGCCCGGAGAUGGGUACUGAGACACGGACCCAGGCCCUAUGGGGCGCAGCAGGCGAGAAAACUUUGCAAUGUGCGAAAGCACGACAAGGUUAAUCCGAGUGGUUUCUGCUAAAGGAACCUUUUGUCGGUCCUAGAAACACCGAUGAAUAAGGGGUGGGCAAGUUCUAGUGUCAGCCGCCGCGGUAAAACCAGCACCUCAAGUGGUCAGGAUGAUUAUUGGGCCUAAAGCAUCCGUAGCCUGCUUUGUUAGUUUUCGGUUAAAUCUGUACGCUCAACGUACAGGCUGCCGGGAAUACUGCAAAGCUAGGGAGUGGGAGAGGUAGACGGUGCUCGGUAGGAAGGGGUAAAAUCCUUUGAUCUAUUGAUGACCACCUGUGGCGAAGGCGGUCUACCAAAACACGUCCGACGGUGAGGGGAUGAAAGCUGGGGGAGCAAACCGGAUUAAAUACCCGGGUAGUCCCAACUGUAAACUAUGCAAACUCAGUGAUGCAUUGGCUUGUGAGCCAUGGAAGGCCGCAGGGAAGCCCUUUAUUUUUCCGCCCGGGAAGUAC